Molecule: ribosomal RNA, 301 nt
Filed under: uncultured bacterium
Lineage: Bacteria
Description: partial 16S ribosomal RNA
Rfam family: Bacterial small subunit ribosomal RNA
Source: RNAcentral
CAGCAGCCGCGGGAAUAUGAAGGGUGCAAGCGUUACUCGGAAUUACUGGGCGUAAAGCGUGCGUAGGCGGUGAGUUAAGUCUGCUGUGAAAUCCCCGGGCUCAACCUGGGAAUGGCAGUGGAUACUGGCUCGCUAGAGUGUGUCAGAGGAUGGUGGAAUUCCCGGUGUAGCGGUGAAAUGCGUAGAGAUCGGGAGGAACAUCAGUGGCGAAGGCGGCCAUCUGGGACAACACUGACGCUGAGGCACGAAAGCGUGGGAAGCAAACAGGAUUAGAGACCCCUGUAGUCCCUGUCUCUUAUAC